GUAGGUGGCAAGCGUUGUCCGGAAUUAUUGGGCGUAAAGCGCGCGCAGGUGGUUCUUUAAGUCUGAUGUGAAAGCCCCCGGCUCAACCGGGGAGGGUCAUUGGAAACUGGGGAACUUGAGUGCAGGAGAGGAAAGUGGAAUUCCACGUGUAGCGGUGAAAUGCGUAGAUAUGUGGAGGAACACCAGUGGCGAAGGCGACUUUCUGGCCUGUAACUGACACUGAGGCGCGAAAGCGUGGGGAGCAAACAGGGAUUAGAUACCCUGGUAGUCCACGCCGUAAACGAUGAGUGCUAAGUGUUGGGGGGGUUUCCCGCCCCUCAGUGCUGCAGCUAACGCAUUAAGCACUCCGCCUGGGGAUACGGCCGCAAGACUG
Molecule: ribosomal RNA, 373 nt
Filed under: uncultured organism
Description: partial 16S ribosomal RNA
Rfam family: Bacterial small subunit ribosomal RNA
Source: RNAcentral